AUUUUUUCGAUUGGAUUCGGUUUUACUUAGCUGUAAAUUAAAAGGGAAUCGUGUGUAAAUCACGAACUGUCGCGCAACUGUAAGUAACAUUUAAAAGGUUUUAUCCAAGUGCUCCACUGCUAAAAGCGGGAAGGACGAUAAAAACUGUUACAAGUCAGGAUACCUGCCUAAUCCGUAUAGACAAU
RNAcentral lists this non-coding RNA (185 nucleotides) under Flavobacterium sp. Lineage: Bacteria; Pseudomonadati; Bacteroidota; Flavobacteriia; Flavobacteriales; Flavobacteriaceae. The record is from RNAcentral.